AGCUGCCUCUCCCGCCGAGUUGGAGACGGAUGGGCUGGGACGGGUUUUGGGGGGGUGUCCCCAAUUCUGACUGGGAGUGGAGGAACCCCUCCUGAGCUCUCUUGUGGGGGUGCCCCCUCCCCAGGGCACUCCCCAGUCCCUGAGCCAGCCGAGAGGAAGGAGGCCAGCGAUGCGACUGGGGCGGUUCCUUUCUCCUGCACCCCAAAUGUGAGGGAUGCACCCUAAAUUUUGCUCUUUUCAAAAUAGGGGACCAGGAUCUCAGGGGAGAGUAGCUGAGGCCUUGCUCGGAGUCCCAGGAGAUCCACAGGUCCAGCGUGAACAGUGAGAGGUCAGAGGUGGAAGGCUCAGCAGGAGAGGAGAGGAGGAUCAGCAGAGGUCAUGAGAAGGCCAGAAUCCAGGGUCAGGCUGUCUGGAACAGGAAGUAAAAUGGGCCGAGAUGGAGCGAGCCCCCAGUGUGCUUCCGAGGCCACUCCCAACUCCCUGAAACACCCUGCUACGUACUGACCCAAUGCCCUGCGCUGUGUAUGAGAGCACCUUCUCCUCCGAAACCCCUGUACAAGGAGGGGCCCCUGCGGAGACCGUGCCCUGCCGUCCAGUUCUCAAGGGCAUUCUAAAAAACUAGUGACAAAGUAGGGAAGCAGCUGAGCUGGAAAGGAGUUCUGAGGACGAUGGAACCUUGGGUAAGGAGGAAGAAGGCUGCCCACCCGCCCUUUUCUGGCAGCCACCCUCCCUCACACUGUCCGUUCCUUGAUGACACAGCUGAUGUGAUUAAGAUCGUCCCCAAAUCGCUUCACA
Molecule: long non-coding RNA, 795 nt
Organism: Piliocolobus tephrosceles (Ugandan red Colobus)
Lineage: Eukaryota; Metazoa; Chordata; Mammalia; Primates; Cercopithecidae
Exons: 3
Source: RefSeq, a predicted model, not a curated record